Long non-coding RNA from Pongo pygmaeus (Bornean orangutan), 1801 nucleotides. RefSeq lists it as uncharacterized. The record is from RefSeq and is a predicted model, not a curated record. Lineage: Eukaryota; Metazoa; Chordata; Mammalia; Primates; Hominidae. The transcript is spliced from 3 exons.
AGGCUUUUCAUGCCUGAAAGACCCCAUUUCUUAGUUGUCCGGUCCCCAGUAGUAUCAGUGGCUUGGGGAUUUCUUACUGAGCUCAGCUCAUUGUCCCCAAAAUGCCUCCCCUUACCCCCAACUCGAGCGUUUCUCUUUCCUGCUCUGGGCCCAAGCUCUUCCCGUGGUUCUUGGUGUCAGCUUCAUUCAAGUCACUCUCCCGCCUCUCAUUCCUUUCUCCCCGCCUUUCUUCACUUCCUUCCAAGUGCCCUCUCCAUUUCCCGGUCACUGGUCCCAAAGCUCCGGAUCGCAGUGGUUCCAUUUUAAAUUUCUUUGCUUUCUAACGCAACUUUCUACGGUAACUGAAGUUCCCGUGUUCUUUUUCACCAUGGUCUCUCCGUUUUAAUGUUUUGGUUUUUUUUAACCCAGGCCCCUGGUUUAUGAGCCCUGGGUACGUCCUUCCUGUGUCCCGUUUGGCCUCCUGGGUUACACUUCUGUUCACCCCGUUUGGCCGGUUUUUUUUUUCUUUUUUUUAAACCUGCCGGUUUCUCAGUCUCCCCCUUUUCCGCUGGCUACCUGUCCCUUUCUCGCCGCCCAUGUUAACUUUAGCAUGCCCCGUUCUCGCUCUUCAUUUUCCACUGGGUAUUUUUUAUGUUUCCCAAUUUUAAAAACGGCCCAGCGCACCCCUUUUUCUGGGACUCCACUUUUAUCUCUGGCACCAGUGUCGGCCUCCUCCACCUCUGCUCCCAUUUAAUCGCUAAUUUCCUGCCUCCUGAGGACCCCCGUUUUAUUGUCCUGCCUCCCCCCUCCCAUUUUUCUCUUCUCUAAUUUUCUGAGUCUCCAUUUUUUGUCUCCCAGAUUCCUUCGAUUCCUGGAGUCUUACAGGCCUCAUUUUUAUGUACACGUCAUGGAAAAGAAUAAAAGGUUGUGGAGGCCAGGAGUCUGGAAUGAUCUUACGAGGUUAACAUCAAGGUGUUGGCAGAGCUCGUUCCUUCUGGACGCUCUAGAGCAAGCUUGUCCAACUUGCAGGCCGCAGGCCAAAUUCGGCCCAGGAUGGCUUUGAAUGGCCUCUGCAUUUGCUGUUGCCUCUGCCAGGAACACUCAGCCCACGGAUCUUCACCUAGCCAGCUCCUUCUCAUUCUAAGGAUAGAUUAUUACCACCUCAAGGAGACCUCCCUGCCACCCUAGGAAAAGUGCCCCUCUUCUUAUAAAGGCCUCCCUUUUAUACAUACCAUUUUAUUAUCCUCAUAAUUAUUAUCAUAUCUGGACCUAUCUUACUUAUUUUUGUACUUUCUGUCUUCCUUCUACCCCCCAUGCCACCCAGGAUAUAAGCUCUGUGAAAGAGGAAUGUUUGUGGUUUUAAUAUGUACAGACAUUCUCUGACACUCCUCCCUUCAAAAAGUGGUGCCUAAUUCUUCCCAGUCCUCUUCAAUGUAGGCUGGACUUAUUGCUAAGACACAGAGCGUGGCAGAAGGGAUCCCAUGUAACUCCUGAGGCUAGGUCAUAGAAAGGAUAGCAUCAGCUUGACUCACUCCGUCUUGAUCAUUUGCUCUGAGGGAAGCCAUCCGCCAUGUUGGAAGGACACUCAAGCAGCCUUAUGGAGAAUCCCACAUGGAGAAGAAAUAGUUGCCAGGCAUGGGAGUGAGGACUUCAAAAGUAGAUCUUUCAGAUGAUUUCAGCCCUGCAACCUUCAAUUCUUCCGGCUGACACCCCAGACAUACAGAGCCAAGACAAACCAUCCCCAAUGCCCACUGUGCCCUCUCUGAAUUCCUGACCCACAGAAAUCGUCAGAUAAUAAAUGAUUAUUCUUGUUUUAAGCCAC